ACCAACAAAAAUCCUCUCUCGACCCCACUUUCCAUUCUGGCGACUACCGCGGACCCCUGGACAAUGCAAGGUCAGGGGCACCCGCCCCUCUCCCCAGGCUGUUGAAAAUCUGAGCGUAACUGCUGACUCCUGAAGACCUUAGUAACACACUACAGUUGACAGGAGCCUUACCGAUGGCACUCGACUAAUGCAUAUUUACAUGUUAUAUGUACUAUGCACUGUAUUUUUACAAUAAAGCCAGCUAGAGAAAAGAAAAUGUUAAGAAAACCAAAGGAAAAUACAUUUACAACGCUGUGCCGUACUCAGGGGAACCACAGGCACAUAAGGGGACCUGUGCGGUUCAAACCCUGCUGUCAAGGCCCAGGUGGUGCCUGCGUCUCACUUUGUCUUCACCGCCAAGGGCCUCGGGUGAGACCCCCUGUUCAAUUACAUUCAGCCAGCACCAAUUAAGGGUGCUGUCGAUAUUGUUAACGCCAGCACCUUCUUCCCCACAACCAGGGGAAAUUACAUUUGGCCCUGGCGCCUCUUAGAUAUGUCCCAGUCCCCUGGCUACUGUGAUGCCACCCUCUGGGGACUCCUGUCUCCUUUCUAGAGGUUCCUUCACAGAAUCAGCCUCUUCGUUUCCCUUAGCGUGACGUGGGCAACCUUCCUGAUCCCAGGGCUGGUGGCCACCUCUACCGACUUGGGCGCUUGACAAAUGCACAGCUGUGACCCUGGCCCCUUUCUGCCUCCCCGGAAUGUGAGCUCCUCCAGAUCAGAACCAGGUUUCAGCCCUGGAUGGCCCACCCACUGCCGGCAUCUGCCGGGCACCUUGUGGAAGGCAGACACGAAGUUCAGAGUGAAUGUUAGCAAAGUUGACUGAGCGCCGGGUGAUGACAACACCCUCACGGUCACCGGCACAGCAUUAAGAACAUCAAUUUUACAGUAAUGACUCCCAAGUCUGCUCCCCGACGGUUUCAUAUGAGGGUCUGAAGUCAGGCUUCCUAAGUUUCCACUCAGGUGACCGAGACCGGAGGGGUGCCCUUGGGCAAGAAAACGUCCCUGAGCCUGAGUUCCCUCAUUGUCUACGGAGAUAAUAACUGUACCCCUUUCUGGAGACCUUGAGAUUUGAACCUGAAACCACUCACUCAAGGUGUCUACAGGGUCCCAGCACCGACCACCGGGGAAACGACCAGAAAUCUACUCUCUGUGCCACCACGUGCGAACAUUCCAACAGUCGUUCCUCCGCGGGUUUGAGCAGGACUCGACUGGGGCCUCCCUACCAAGUUGUGGGGCGCCCUGUCCCGCAGCUCACUGGGCAUCCACCGAGGCGCGGGGACACCUCCUGGCCCUGGGGUCACCCGGGCCGCGAGGGCCUCCCACCGCACUGGCCCUCCAUUGGCUGGCGCGGGGGUGCACACGGCAGGGGCUGGGGGGGGGGGGGCAUCGACCCUCGCGCUCCACCGUACGCCCCGUGAACCCCCUGCCCGCGCGAGGGGAGGUCCGCGCACCCGCACACCCGCUGCCCCGUGGGCCCCUCGCCCUAGGAGAGGCCCGCGCGCGCGCUCGCACGCGCGCGCCCGGCGACCCGUUACCUCCUGCCGCCCCGGGGGAGGUCCGCGCCCGCGCACACACGCCCCCGCGCCUUCGCGGCCCGUCGCGCAUCUGCCGCCCCGAGGCCCCGCGCGUGCCGGCCGCGCCGUCGGGUGGCCGCCGUCGCCCGGCUCCGGUGAGCGCCGCAGGGCGUCGCCGCCUUUUAGCGCCUGGCGCCGACCCCCCCGCCCCCCGCCCGUCCGUGCGCCCGCGUCCGGCGCAGCGGCCGGUGCUUUCCUCGCGGGACGAGGGGGAACUCCGGGGCGGUAACCACACGCACUUCCCCUGACCGCGGCCUGGCCAGCCCUCCCCGCCCCCACCCCGGGGAAUUUCCGCGACCCCGGGCACCCCCCCCGCCGCCCCCCGCCCCGGGCGGCCUUUCAGAGGGCCGGCGCCGCGCGCUCGCGCCCGGGCAGCGGCCGCGUGCUCGGGGUCGGCCCGGUCGCGCGUCCCCGCCGGCGGUCGCAGGAGCGAGGGCGCGGGCGGAAGCGCGGGUUCCCCGUGGGCCUAGCUGCAGUGCCUGGGACGGCGGCGUGGCCUUCUUCGUUUCCGGUAGCGAGGUGUGUGUGUGCGUGUUUGUUUUCGCCUGGUUGGUUGUUUUUGUAACUAGGGUGGGCCUGGCUAUUAAAAAAAAAAAAAAAAAAAAAAAGUCCCUUCCUUUAGGCUCUUGUCCCGCACCGGACAGCUCUCAGUGCCUGCCGGCGGUCCUCUCCGGGACACCGGGGACUGUGCACCUGCCGUCCCUCCAGCUGCCGGGCGCACGCGGGGGGACCGCCUGCCGGGUAGCGGAUGGAUGGGGGCGCUCAACCGACUGCCCCGCCUUCCAGCACAGCUAAGAUGGUCAGGAGCCAAAGGAAAUCCUGUAACGUUAUUCGGGAAUUCUUCCUCCCGUGGAAACAAAACGGACGCCCGUUCCAUUCGGCACAGUCGGCACGGGCUGGGGCGUCUUCAGGAUGCGGUGGCUCCGGCCGCCCAGGGCAGUCGGGGCUCCAGCUGGAAGGGGCCAACGUGACUGAGUUCAUGUCACAGGGAAAUCGCAGUCCACUUCCGACCCUGCCCGGUUCAAAACCUGGCAAGACGUUUUCAACUCACCUUGGAGGUGACUGAAAACCUUUUUUUGUGGGCGUUAUAUGCUUUUGAUCUUGUAGCCACCAAGAGGAUUUUUGAAACACGAAAUUCCUCUGGACAUUUUUAACUUUAAAGCAUAAAAGUUGUCACGGUUGCGAAGCACCUGCAGAAUGCAGACAUAAGUAUUUUGGAACACAGUGGAUCCGGCCCUCUUUUCAACCGAUUGGUCGAAUACAAAUACCACAGCCAGUCAUUUGAUACCCACCAUCGUCCAUUAAACAUCAGCUCGGCUUCAAUAACUGAAGACUUUACACCUGGGGUGAGACACUAUUUUACAAGCCAAGAUGGGUGAGCACAAAGCCUUCUCUUCAAGAAGAGAGCCCCACGGUGAACAGGUUGGUGACAAGGCGGGACAGCCUGGCCCCCUUCACAGCUCUUGUUUUCAGGCUGAUCGGGUUUAGGAAGAGCCCCAUGUGGACUUGAAGCACCAGGCUGUCAAUUCCUUUAACACUGAGUUCCCACUUGCCUGGGGCUAAUCUUUGUGAAGACGUGGUGAGCCUGCCCAAGGGAGUACCUGUCCCAACUGAAAGACCAGCGGCCUGAGGAAUCCCGGUGGGACUGGCUUUCCCAGGUGCUUUGGGCACAAUGAGAGUGGAGAGGAGACCUACCUGCCAGGCCCCGGAGUGCAUCGCCACGUCUCCUCCGCAAUAUUUCACGCAACUUUAACGAUGGAUUUUUAAAAAAUGUUUACUUAUUUAUUUUAGGAGAGACAGCGAGAGAGAGAAAAUGGGCAAGGGAGGGGCAGAGAGAGAGAGGAAGAGAGAGAGAAUCCCAAACAGGCUCUGCACUGUCAGCACGGAUGUGGGGCUCGAGCCCACAAACCAUGAGAUCAUGACCUGAGCUGAAAGAAAGAAUCAGAUGCUUAACUGCCUGAGCCACCCAGGCUCCCCAGUGAUUGAAGUUUUAAAAAUAAUUGUUUUCCUAUAAUAAUGCUAAGGUGCACAGGAGCAAGGCUGCAUGUAUUUUGUUCAGCACACUAUUCUAGUACAAGCAGGGUACCUGUAAAUAGGGAGUGUUCAAUAAACCUCUGUUGACUGAAUGACAAAAACGGACUCAGUGUAUCCAUUUGGACCCUCUCUCUCCUAAACCUGCACCCAUUUUUUAAAUAGUGAAACAUAACUUACCUUUUCCCUCCCAACUCUGUGAAUAUCCCAACUAUUUUAUAUAAAAACUCCACUCUUCCUUGCAGCACCCAAACAUCACCUAAAUAUGUUUUCUCUCCAAUACUCUUGUAUACACAGAAGGAAGCGAGGAAAUGCUUCAGGACAAUGACAAGAUAGACACACGAGGCCAUUAGUAUCUGGUUUACAAUAGCUUUCUUCUGCUGUCCCUGUCUAAGCAGGGUAUGAGAAGCGUGUUCACCCCAUUCCUGGUUUGGAACUUCUAGGACUCUCAACUGUGGUGUGUUCUCAUUGUCCUAUUGUAUUUAAAUCAAGUUUAAAAUAUCUGUUUCCCUUGAGGGCGAUCAUGAU
Molecule: long non-coding RNA, 4172 nt
Organism: Acinonyx jubatus (cheetah)
Lineage: Eukaryota; Metazoa; Chordata; Mammalia; Carnivora; Felidae
Exons: 2
Source: RefSeq, a predicted model, not a curated record